AUGAAGAUUAGCCUUAGAAAUGGAUUUUAUUAUGUGUAUGAAUUCGAGGUGUCACAGAGCCACACUCUUGCUCAUGGAAUCAUGGCCCAAUACUUAAGAUCUCAGAGAAACAUGAUAGAAGCACAUAUAGCAAAUGUAGAGGUCGCAAAGUCGGUUGGCUUUUCAAAUAAAGCAACAAUCGAUUUUAUGGCCAAAGAAGCAGGUGGAAGUGACAACCUUGGCUUUACACCUCAAGAUAUGAAAAAUCGUUUCUACUCAAAGAGAACAAUAAAAGCAAAUGUAGGUGACAUAGGGGGAGUAUUAGAAUACAAGGAGAAAAAGGUCUCGGAAGAUGACAACUUUUAUUAUUCAAUUCAAGUGGAUGAGGAUCAGUUGACAACUAAUAUUUUUUUGCGCUGA
RNAcentral lists this ribosomal RNA (399 nucleotides) under Triticum aestivum (bread wheat). RNAcentral describes it as "partial small subunit ribosomal RNA". Lineage: Eukaryota; Viridiplantae; Streptophyta; Magnoliopsida; Poales; Poaceae. The record is from RNAcentral.